Long non-coding RNA from Strigops habroptila (Kakapo), 1838 nucleotides. RefSeq lists it as uncharacterized. NCBI's taxonomy places the organism in Eukaryota, Metazoa, Chordata, Aves, Psittaciformes, Psittacidae. The record is from RefSeq and is a predicted model, not a curated record. The transcript is spliced from 5 exons.
UCUUACUGAUGCUGUUGUAAGUCUUUUUGCUUUCAGCAGGUUUUUCUUCUGUGGAUUUCACUGAAGCAGAUACAGUGUUCGAGAUGACAGACGGGGCUGAGUCCUUUGGCAUGUUUGGUGCAGGGGUCAGCUUCCCAGUGCUCUCCUCCUUUCCCACAGGCCAGUAAAUGACAAAGCUGCCACUACUUUAAUUGUGGAAGGAUUCCCCCAAUAGGACAAAAUUCAACUCUGAAGUUACAUCUUUGUGAACCUGGAAUGGAUACCACUGGAAAUCGCUUCCACAAGCCAGACUGAUACUUCCCCUGUGCUGGGAGAAAGUGGGAUACUCACCAAAGACAGUCCUAGCAGGGACAGAUUCUCUGUUUAGCCAAAAUGACACUUGCGAUAAGAUCACAGUCAUAAUGCAAGGCAGAUCCUAAGUUAGCAAUGAGAGAUUCUGGAUGUUGGGAACAGAACUGGGCAACCAUUUGCAGAAAGCAGCAAGAUCCACUUGGACCCAAAUUCCAUAUCUGACUCUUUUCAGCACUUGUACCACCAGGACAUAACAGAUGUUGGAAGCAGUAAGGAAGAAAUGCCUUCAUAAGUAACCCUGAUUACUGGCCUCCUACGAGCCUGAUGAAGUCCAGAAAAUCCACGGCUGACUGAUGCUUUCCCUGUGCAAAAUCGGAUUUUGCUAAUCCCUGGUUACAAUCUGUGUCCUGCUCUUUGUGAUCCACCCUGCAAAUCAGAAUCCAGCCAGCCCAGAUGUAACCCGAGACAUUAAUAUAAAAUCUUGACGUUGGAAACCAAGCAUUUAUUAGCCUAAAUCUUAAGAUAUAGGAGGGAGGUCAUUACUGGGCAGAAACUUUGGGAUUUGUCUGAAGAGUACCCUUUUUCCUUGGGCUUAGGAGUACAAGGACCUUUCACAGACAGAGCUGCAAACUGGAGGUGUCCUGGAGCUGGCACGCUGGAGCACUCACUGCCUGGGCUGGAUGGUUUUCUUGCUCUGAGGAGUAGGGCAAGCUCGCAGGAGAUGCCCCAGUACAUUCUCUGGAUCUUUUUCUUGGCAACAAUGAAGGCGAGAGGGGAGCUACCGUUCAUUGCAGAAAACAAUGCGGCUAUGAUGGUAAACUGGUAAGGAAAAAAGUGUCUUUGUUCUUUAAUGGGAGAUCGCAUACUCAUGCUUUUCCUGCAGCAGUGGCUGUCUAUAUACUUCUCUUGGCUUUAGGUAUCUCUGCUUUAGCAACAGCUUUGUGUCUCCUGAAAUGGGCAAGGGAGAGGGUGAAGUCUAUAGGAUGGAGAUAGUGGUUGUGUUUAGUGGCUCCCCUGUGUUGCAAGCCUUCCCUCAAUUUGUGUCCCGUUUGGAGACCAAGCGGCAAGCUCAGCUGCUCCCUCUUUAUUUGCUGUGUUUGGAUAGUUUGAGCAGGAAGUUUCAUGUUUAGGUCCAGCUAACUUUGUGUGGAAGUGUAAGUGUACCUGUUUUUGCACCUCCUAAGUUUCCUGAAAAUAGUAGCAGGUUCCUAACUCAAGCUAUACCUUGUCCUCUACAAUCCUGCCUUUGGCUCAGAGCAUGUCAUUUUUCACCAAGGACACAGUACAUCACCAGAAGACUCUAUCAUGCUUUGCCAGCAGGAAUUGCUCCGCGUCGUGUGGCUGUAGUCUGCCCCUCUUCCCCAUUCCAAGCCCUGCACAACCAGCAGCGGUGGAAAACCCCCUUCCCUUGAUGACAGGCUAUUUUGUUCCCCACCCCGCUGGAUGCCACUAAUGCUCUCCAGACGAGUGCAUUGUGUAACCUGGUUAAGCCCCAGUCCUGCUGAGCCUGUGUGAUGCCUAUCCUGGUCUCAACCCGCCCCGGGAGU